Molecule: long non-coding RNA, 222 nt
Filed under: Phoenix dactylifera (date palm)
Lineage: Eukaryota; Viridiplantae; Streptophyta; Magnoliopsida; Arecales; Arecaceae
Description: long non-coding RNA (PDAC_LNC006304)
Source: RNAcentral
GUUGGAGGAGGGGUGGAAUACUGGGUAUUCUGUGGUGGAGUUCUCAGAGGAGACGUCAGAAGACAUUCUGUUUUUGGGAUUAACAUUGGUCUAUAGGCGGUUCUGAUAUAAUAUAGAAGUUUACAAUAGGAUAUGGUUGAAGGUUGUUUUCUCUUAAGAGAUUUGUGUUACGUGAUGGUGUGUUAUAUAGAGAGCGGACUAACAACAACUUCUAGAGAUACU